GACGGACGCUGGCGGCGUGCUUAACACAUGCAAGUCGAACGGAAAGGCCUGCUUUCCCUUGUGGAUUGCGGGUACUCGAGUGGCGAACGGGUGAGUAACACGUGAGUGAUCUGCCCCCAACUUGGGUAUAAGCCUGGGAAACUAGGUCUAAUUCCCGAUAGGACUGCAGGGUGGUUCCUGUGGUGGAAAACGAUUUUCUAGUGGUUGGGGAUGCGCUCGCGGCCUAUCAGCUUGUUGGUGGGGUAAUGGCCUACCAAGGCGGCGACGGGUAGCCGGCCUGAGAGGGUGGACGGACACAUUGGGACUGAGAUACGGCCCAGACUCCUACGGGAGGCAGCAGUGGGGAAUAUUGCACAAUGUGCGGAAGCCUGAUGCAGCGACGCCGCGUGGGGGAUGACGGCCUGCGGGUUGUAAACUCCUUUCGACCGCGAGGAAGCCACCUGGUUGGAAGGGUGGUGACGGUAGUGGUAGAAGAAGCACCGGCUAACUACGUG
RNAcentral lists this ribosomal RNA (494 nucleotides) under uncultured bacterium. RNAcentral describes it as "partial 16S ribosomal RNA". It matches the Rfam family "Bacterial small subunit ribosomal RNA", at positions 28 to 507 of the family's 1533-position model. The record is from RNAcentral.